This 848-nucleotide ribosomal RNA is filed under the name uncultured bacterium. Its description in RNAcentral is "bacterial SSU rRNA". It matches the Rfam family "Bacterial small subunit ribosomal RNA", at positions 601 to 1450 of the family's 1533-position model. The record is from RNAcentral.
CCCCGGGCUCAACCUGGGAACUGCGUUNUGAACUGGGUAGCUAGAGUAUGUCAGAGGGGGGUAGAAUUCCACGUGUAGCAGUGAAAUGCGUAGAGAUGUGGAGGAAUACCGAUGGCGAAGGCAGCCCCCUGGGAUAAUACUGACGUUCAUGCUNGAAAGCGUGGGUAGCAAACAGGAUUAGAUACCCUGGUAGUCCACGCCCUAAACGAUGUCGAUUAGCUGUUGGGCAGCUUGACUGCUUAGUAGCGUAGCUAACGCGUGAAAUCGACCGCCUGGGGAGUACGGUCGCAAGAUUAAAACUCAAAGGAAUUGACGGGGACCCGCACAAGCGGUGGAUGAUGUGGAUUAAUUCGAUGCAACGCGAAGAACCUUACCUGGUCUUGACAUGUACGGAACCUUCCAGAGACGGAAGGGUGCCUUCGGGAGCCGUAACACAGGUGCUGCAUGGCUGUCGUCAGCUCGUGUCGUGAGAUGUUGGGUUAAGUCCCGCAACGAGCGCAACCCUUGUCAUUAGUUGCCAUCAUUCAGUUGGGCACUCUAAUGAGACUGCCGGUGACAAACCGGAGGAAGGUGGGGAUGACGUCAAGUCCUCAUGGCCCUUAUGACCAGGGCUUCACACGUCAUACAAUGGUCGGUACAAAGGGUAGCCAAGCCGCGAGGCGGAGCCAAUCUCAUAAAACCGAUCGUAGUCCGGAUUGCACUCUGCAACUCGAGUGCAUGAAGUCGGAAUCGCUAGUAAUCGCAGGUCAGCAUACUGCGGUGAAUACGUUCCCGGGUCUUGUACACACCGCCCGUCACACCAUGGGAGUGGGGGAUACCAGAAGUAGGUAGGGUAACCGCAAGGAGCC